UACGUAGGGUGCAAGCGUUGCCCGGAUUUAUUGGGCGUAAAGGGCGCGUAGGCGGCCCGGCGCGUCCGCGGUGAAAGCUCCCGGCUCAACUGGGAGAGGUCCGCGGAAACGGUCGGGCUGGAGCAAGGUAGGGGGUCGUGGAAUUCCCGGUGUAGUGGUGGAAUGCGUAGAGAUCGGGAGGAACACCAGUGGCGAAGGCGGCGACCUGGACCUGUGCUGACGCUGAUGCGCGAAAGCGUGGGAGCGAGUCCGG
This 253-nucleotide ribosomal RNA is filed under the name uncultured bacterium. RNAcentral describes it as "partial 16S ribosomal RNA". It matches the Rfam family "Bacterial small subunit ribosomal RNA", at positions 524 to 776 of the family's 1533-position model. The record is from RNAcentral.